RNAcentral lists this unclassified non-coding RNA (196 nucleotides) under Glomeraceae sp. Its description in RNAcentral is "partial contains 5.8S ribosomal RNA and internal transcribed spacer 2". The stretch from base 1 to 71 matches the Rfam family "5.8S ribosomal RNA", at positions 84 to 154 of the family's 154-position model. Lineage: Eukaryota; Fungi; Glomeromycota; Glomeromycetes; Glomerales; Glomeraceae. The record is from RNAcentral.
GUGAAUCAUCAAAUUUUUGAACGCAAAUUGCACUCCCUGGUAUUCCGGGGAGUAUGCCUGUUUGAGGGUCGUCAUAAUAAAAAAUCGAGGCGUCGCUCUUUUUUUUAAGUGUGAACGGGUCGGAAUUUAGCCGUCUUUCAAAUGUUAAUUCUUGUUAAAGUUGCUUGAAAUUCAUCCACCCGGUACGAUUAAACUG